UGAGGAAUAUUGGGCAAUGGGCGAAAGCCUGACCCAGCAACGCCGCGUGAGGGAAGAAGGUUCUCGGAUUGUAAACCUCUGUCCCAUGGGAAGAAACAAAUGACGGUACCAUGGGAGGAAGCCCCGGCUAACUACGUGCCAGCAGCCGCGGUAAUACGUAGGGGGCAAGCGUUGUCCGGAAUUAUUGGGCGUAAAGGGUGCGUAGGCGGCCUUUCAAGUUGGAUGUGAAAUCCCCGUGCUUAACAUGGGAAUUGCAUUCAAAACUGGAGGGCUUGAGUGUGGAAGAGGUAAGUGGAAUUCCCAGUGUAGCGGUGAAAUGCGUAGAUAUUGGGAGGAACACCUGUGGCGAAGGCGACUUACUGGGCCACAACUGACGCUGAGGCACGAAAGCGUGGGGAGCAAACA
RNAcentral lists this ribosomal RNA (405 nucleotides) under uncultured prokaryote. Its description in RNAcentral is "bacterial SSU rRNA". It matches the Rfam family "Bacterial small subunit ribosomal RNA", at positions 355 to 774 of the family's 1533-position model. The record is from RNAcentral.